Molecule: ribosomal RNA, 674 nt
Filed under: Psathyrella corrugis
Lineage: Eukaryota; Fungi; Basidiomycota; Agaricomycetes; Agaricales; Psathyrellaceae
Description: partial large subunit ribosomal RNA
Rfam family: Eukaryotic large subunit ribosomal RNA
Source: RNAcentral
AUUUGACCUCAAAUCAGGUAGGACUACCCGCUGAACUUAAGCAUAUCAAUAAGCGGAGGAAAAGAAACUAACAAGGAUUCCCCUAGUAACUGCGAGUGAAGCGGGAAAAGCUCAAAUUUAAAAUCUGGUGGUCUUUGGCCAUCCGAGUUGUAAUCUAGAGAAGUGUUACCCGCGUCGGACCGUGUACAAGUCUCCUGGAAUGGAGCGUCAUAGAGGGUGAGAAUCCCGUCUUUGACACGGACUACCGAGGCUUUGUGGUGCGCUCUCAACGAGUCGAGUUGUUUGGGAAUGCAGCUCAAAAUGGGUGGUAAAUUCCAUCUAAAGCUAAAUAUUGGCGAGAGACCGAUAGCGAACAAGUACCGUGAGGGAAAGAUGAAAAGAACUUUGGAAAGAGAGUUAAACAGUACGUGAAAUUGCUAAAAGGGAAACGCUUGAAGUCAGUCGCGUUGGCCGGAAAUCAGCCUUGCUUUUGCUGGGUGUACUUUCUGGUUGACGGGCCAGCAUCAGUUUUGACCGGUGGAAAAAGUUCAAGGGAAUGUGGCAUCUUCGGAUGUGUUAUAGCCCUUGGUCGUAUACAUCGGUUGGGACUGAGGAACUCAGCACGCCGAAAGGCCGGGUCUUUGACCACGUUCGUGCUUAGGAUGCUGGCAUAAUGGCUUUAAUCGACCCGUCUG